This 468-nucleotide ribosomal RNA is filed under the name uncultured bacterium. Its description in RNAcentral is "partial 16S ribosomal RNA". It matches the Rfam family "Bacterial small subunit ribosomal RNA", at positions 28 to 507 of the family's 1533-position model. The record is from RNAcentral.
GACGAACGCUGGCGGCGUGCUUAACACAUGCAAGUCGAACGGAACGGCCCUGCUUUUGUGGGGUGCUCGAGUGGCGAACGGGUGAGUAACACGUGAGUAACCUGUCAUUGACUUUGGGAUAACUUCAGGAAACUGGGGCUAAUACCGGCUAGGAGCUCCCGCUGUUUGGUGGGGGCUGGAUAGUUUCGGCGGUUGGGGAUGGACUCGCGGCUUAUCAGCUUGUUGGUGGGGUAGUGGCUUACCAAGGCUUUGACGGGUAGCCGGGCUGGUAGGGUGACCGGCCAAGUCGGGACUGGAAUACGACACGGACUCCAACGGUAGGGAGGGGAGGAGUGGGUAAUACUAGAGACGGGGGGCUGGUGCGACAACGCCGCGUGGGGGAUGACAGCAAUCGGGUAGUGAUCCGCAUUCGCCCGUCACGAGACGUGAGUGACGGUAAUGGGUGAAGAAGCACCGGCUAACUCCGUG